GUAGGUGGCAAGCGUUGUCCGGAAUUAUUGGGCGUAAAGCGCGCGCAGGCGGUUCUUUAAGUCUGAUGUGAAAGCCCACGGCUCAACCGUGGAGGGUCAUUGGAAACUGGAGAACUUGAGUACAGAAGAGGAAAGCGGAAUUCCACGUGUAGCGGUGAAAUGCGUAGAGAUGUGGAGGAACACCAGUGGCGAAGGCGGCUUUCUGGUCUGUAACUGACGCUGAGGCGCGAAAGCGUGGGGAGCAAACAGGAUUAGAUACCCUGGUAGUCCACGCCGUAAACGAUGAGUGCUAAGUGUUAGGGGGUUUCCGCCCCCCUUAGUGCUGCAGCUAACGCAUUAAGCACUCCGCCUGGGAGUACGGCCGCAGGCUG
Molecule: ribosomal RNA, 371 nt
Filed under: uncultured organism
Description: partial 16S ribosomal RNA
Rfam family: Bacterial small subunit ribosomal RNA
Source: RNAcentral